AGUGAACGCUGGCGGUAGGCCUAACACAUGCAAGUCGAACGGCAGCACAGUAAGAUCUUGCUCUUACGGGUGGCGAGUGGCGGACGGGUGAGGCAUACAUCGGAAUCUACUUUUUCUUGGGUGAUAACGUAGGGCAACUUACGCUAAUACCUCAUACGACCUACGGCUGAAAGCAGGGGAUCUUCGGACCUUGCGCGAUUGAAUUAGCCGAUGUCGGAUUAGCUAGUUGGCGGGGUAAAGGCCCACCAAGGCGACGAUCCGUAGCUGGUCUGAGAGGAUGAUCAGCCACACUGGAACUGAGACACGGUCCAGACUCCUACGGGAGGCAGCAGUGGGGAAUAUUGGACAAUGGGCGCAAGCCUGAUCCAGCCAUACCGCGUGGGUGAAGAAGGCCUUCGGGUUGUAAAGCCCUGUUGUUGGGAAAGAAAAGAAGCAGGUUAAUACCCCGCUGUUCUGACGGUACCUAAAGAAUAAGCACCGGCUAACUUCGUG
RNAcentral lists this ribosomal RNA (492 nucleotides) under uncultured bacterium. RNAcentral's name for it is "partial 16S ribosomal RNA". It matches the Rfam family "Bacterial small subunit ribosomal RNA", at positions 29 to 507 of the family's 1533-position model. The record is from RNAcentral.